AUGGGCGGAUACGAGUUCCAGAGGGCGGAGCUAGAUGCACUGGAAGGCGUCGUACGCGAUCCAACUGCGGAGCCAAUGAGUCUGACGUUGCCGCUUCUCAGGCACAUAACAAAUGAUUUCUCCCCUGAAUUUGAAAUUAGUAAAGAUGAUUCUGCAGUGGUUUACCUGGGGGUGCUUCCAAGUGGGUUCCGUGUUGCUGUCAAGAAGCUUCACAAUCGUCAUUGGUUAGAAGAUGAAGAUGCAUUUAUAAAUGAAGUUUCUAUCGCAAUGAAGGCUGCUAAGAAGAACACAGUGCGAGUUAUAGGCUACUGUCAGCACACGCAAGAGCAAAUUGCCGAAUACGAAGGAAAACAAGUUUUCGCCGAGCUAACAGAAAGGUUGAUCUGUACCGAGUAUGUGCCUAACGGACCCCUUAGUGGACAUAUCGAAGGUAAGAUAUGUGCGCAAAUGGAUGGAUACGAGUUCCAGAGGGCAGAACUAGAUGCACUAGAACGCGUCGUACGCGAUACAAGUGCGGAGCCAAUGAGUCUGACGUUGCCGCUUCUCAGGCACAUAACAAAUGAUUUCUCCGAUGAAUCUCGAAUUGGCCGAGGUGGAUUCGCAGUGGUUUACCUGGGGGUGCUUCCAAGUGGGUUACGUAUUGCUGUUAAGAGGCUUAGCAAUAUUGCUUAUAUGAAUGAAAGUGCAUUUCAAAAUGAAGUGUUUAUCACAAUGAAGGCCACUCACAAGAACACAGUGCGAUUCAUGGGCUACUGUAGUCAAAUACAAGGUAAACUCAUCGAACACAACGGGCAACAUGUUUUCGCACAGCUCGAGGAAAGGUUGAUCUGUGUGGAAUAUGCGCCUAAAGGAACCCUUGAUGCACAUAUCGGUGACUAUGGUGAACUUGACUGGAACCAGCGUUAUCAAAUUCUAAAAGGAAUUUGUCAGGGUUUGCAUCAUCUCCAUGACGAAAUGCACGUUUUUCAUGGAGAUAUCAAACCAGCCAAUAUAUUAAUAGGGGAUAACCUUGUGCCUAAAAUCUAUGACUUCGGUCUCUCCCAGAUGUUUGAAGAAGAAGAAACGGAACGUAUUGUUAAAAAUAUGGCCGGAACAUUGUGUUAUCUUGCACCGGAGGUACUUAACACUCAUAUGAUGUCAUUUAAGGCUGAGAUAUACAGUUUGGGCGUUGUGAUCGAGGAGUUAUUGACCGGGAAGAAAGGAUGGAUUGAUGAGGAUGUGAGAAAACAACUUAAGGGUUUGAGAAAAACAUUGGUAAAAGAAGGAGCGUUUUCAUCAUGGGAAAACAAAUACCACCAAGUUAGAACAUGUAUGGAGAUUGGGCAGGACUGCAUAGACCCCAACCCACAUAAAAGGCCCACUUUGUUUGAGAUUAUCCAGCGGCUUAAUGAAGCGGAAGAUAUGAACUAUUCUGCAGCAUCACUUUGGCAGGUGCAGUCAGGAGACGAGGAAUCCGAUUUAUCGGAUACAGAAGCUUUGGAGACAGAGACAACAUCCGAGUUUCUUCCAAGUGACGAGGAACCCGCCUCUGUGGGCAAGACCGGAGAAACAAGCACACAGGAGCCUGAUAAACCGGACCUAGUAAGUAAGUUGCCAGCAUCGGUGGACCUGUCUGACCUAAAAGUCCUGGAGAAAAUCACAGAUGAUUUUUCACACGAAAGAAUAGUUGGGAAGGACGGUACAUUCAAAGGUUGUCAUAAGGCAUUUGUUUAUAAGGGUGACAUUCCACGUAGAGAAAUGAUAGCCGUGAAGAGGUUAAUUGGAGUGGAGAUUCCAGUUGAAAAGUUUAAGAGGGAAGCAGAACAGUUCAUUCGUCUCGAUCAUAAGAAUAUAGUAAAGGUUGCCAGCUACUGCCACGACCAGUCUACAGGACAUAGACUGGUACAGUUCAAAGGAAAACCGCUACCACAACUCUUUAACGGUCCCGAACAACUGCUCUGCUAUGAAUAUAUGCACAACGGAAGCCUUCGCGACUAUCUUAUGGGUCAAGGAUCUCGUGAAAUUGAUUGGCAAAUGCGUUACAAAUUGAUCAAAGGGACUUGCGCAGGCUUAGAUUACCUUCACAAGGGCCGUGCAGGUUGUCCAAUUGUUCAUUUGAAUUUAAGCCCGUCAAAUGUAUUGCUGGACCACAACUACAUACCACGCAUCACAGGGUUCGAUUUUUCGAAGCUCAUUGGUGAAAAGAACACCAAAUCCGUGGUACUUAAGCUGAAUGGACCCAUAGCGUACCUGCCACCGGAUUUCUUCCAUUCAAAGGGUACUGAUCUUAAAUAUCUUGCUACGGUAGAUAUAUACAGCUUGGGUCUUAUGAUUUUAGAAAUCGCAACACAACAAGAGAUCAAAGGCAUCCAUGGAGUGCUUAUUAAGAGUAUAGAGGAAAACUGGAGGGAAGAGUCACAAAUAACACGGCUGUAUACCUCACUAGGGGCCGACGAGCUGCGGCAAGUAAAAAUGUGCAUUGAUAUUGGCCUAGACUGUGUCAAGUCAAACCCUGAAAAGAGACCUACAGCUGGGGCCAUCAUGCUCUGGCUUGACAAAGAGAGCAAACCGGUCCCAGUUUCAAGGGCAGGUGCAGGAGUGCUGCCAAGACCUCCGGUCCCUACUAAUAUCAACCAUGCAGGUCGCAUCCAAGGUAUUCCGAUUGAGAAGUCUCAAGUGUUAAUUCCUUCGUUUGCAUGCAAUGAAUAUUCUUCGGUGAAAAUACAAAAUCUUCAUCUACUUCUGUUUAUGUUCAUCCAAGUUGAUCAGUAA
This 2751-nucleotide ribosomal RNA is filed under the name Triticum aestivum (bread wheat). RNAcentral describes it as "partial small subunit ribosomal RNA". The record is from RNAcentral. Lineage: Eukaryota; Viridiplantae; Streptophyta; Magnoliopsida; Poales; Poaceae.